GGAGCCCAUGCUGGAGCAGGGAAGGAGUGUGAGGAGUCCCUCCCCUGAGGAGGAACGAGUGAGUGGCAGAGACAACGUGUGAUGAACUGAUUGCAACCCCCACUCCCUGUCCCCCUGAGCUGGAGGAGGAGGAGGUAGAGAAUUUGGGAGUAAAGUAGAGCCCAGGAAAAAGGGAGGGGUGGAGUAAGAUAGUUCUGCUGAGUAUUUAGUGAGUUCACUGUUAUAG
Long non-coding RNA from Empidonax traillii (willow flycatcher), 226 nucleotides. RefSeq lists it as uncharacterized. NCBI's taxonomy places the organism in Eukaryota, Metazoa, Chordata, Aves, Passeriformes, Tyrannidae. The record is from RefSeq and is a predicted model, not a curated record. The transcript has 3 exons.